RNAcentral lists this ribosomal RNA (519 nucleotides) under uncultured bacterium. Its description in RNAcentral is "bacterial SSU rRNA". It matches the Rfam family "Bacterial small subunit ribosomal RNA", at positions 8 to 518 of the family's 1533-position model. The record is from RNAcentral.
AGAGUUGAUCAUGGCUCAGAACGAACGCUGGCGGCGCGUUUAAGCAUGCAAGUCGAGCGGCAAGGGCCUUCGGGCCCCUAGAGCGGCGGACGGGUGAGUAACACGUGGACAAUCUGCCCCCCGGCCCGGGAUAGCCCAGGGAAACCUGGAUUAAUACCGGAUGAGACGGGACCCGCGAUGGCGGGACCCGGGAAAGGCGCUGCGGCGCCGCCGGGGGAUGAGUCUGCGUCCCAUUAGCUAGACGGCGGGGUAACGGCCCACCGUGGCGACGAUGGGUAGCCGGCCUGAGAGGGUGGACGGCCACAUUGGAACUGAGACACGGUCCAGACUCCUACGGGAGGCAGCAGCUAAGAAUCUUCCGCAAUGGGCGAAAGCCUGACGGAGCCGACGCCGCGUGAACGAAGAAGGCCGUGAGGUUGUAAAGUUCUUUUCGGGAGGGGGAACAACCGUGGCAGGGAAUGGCCGCGGGAUGACGUGAAUCCCGGAAUAAGCCCCGGCUAACUACGUGCCAGCCGCUGC